RNA transcript from Asparagus officinalis (garden asparagus), 2477 nucleotides. It is a transcript of the gene named condensin complex subunit 2-like, with no coding region annotated. The transcript has 15 exons. The record is from RefSeq and is a predicted model, not a curated record. Lineage: Eukaryota; Viridiplantae; Streptophyta; Magnoliopsida; Asparagales; Asparagaceae.
CCAUCAGAAAAUCGAAGUUCAAAACUUCAAACCACUUCAAAAGAGAGGGAAAAAGAACCGCAGGAACCAAGAAUCAAAACACCCGCUCCCUUCCCUCCCCAAAUAUUCAGCUUCUUCAACAAGCCAAACCCUAGGGGGGAAAACAAAUUAAAACGAAAAUCGUAACGAUGAACUCAUCGAUCUAGGGUUCCAAUGUCCCCUCGACUCCAAUCCCCAAUCUUGAGCCCUAAACCUUUCCCUCUCGUAUCCAACGACGAUGAUCACGAACGAGCUCAGGCACGCGCGGCGAUCGCAGCCUCCGUCCGCCGCCGAUCCGCCGCCUUCUCCCCUACUCCUCCGCCAUUUCGACAACCAGAGGAUCAUGGGUUCUUGGACGAUGAUCAGAUCAUGGAUCUUUUCCAGAAUUGCGUCAAGCUCGCAAGCGAAAACAAAAUCAACCAGAAGAACAUGUGGCAGCUCACGCUGAUUGACCAUCUCAGUGAGAUUAUUAGGGCUGGGCCUAGGGAUGAAGGCGACGAGACCAAUUUCCAGAAGGCUAGUUGUACUUUGGAAGCUGGAGUGAAGAUAUACUCGUUGCGAGUGGAUUCGGUGUAUUCGGAGGCGUAUAAGGUCCUUGGAUGGAUCAAUAGAGCCGGGCAAGAAGAAAUUGGGGGAAACAUGGGUGCCGGCGAUCAUACACAGACUAAGCAAGUACAAGGAUUUGCUAAGAAGGAUUUGGACAGGAAGUUGUCACCUUUAACUACAGUGGAACCUUCUUUUGAAGCCCUCAAUAUAAAGAAGUUUGAUGUGGCAUUUACUGUGGAUCCUCUGUAUCAUCAAACAUCAGCUCAAUUUGAUGAAGGGGGAGCCAAGGGUCUUUUGUUAAACAACUUUGGAGUUUAUGGUGGUUGUUGUGUGCUGUUUGAUUUAUUCGAGUUACCAGAGAAGACCAUUUUAUCUGAACCGGAGUAUCAUCACGCUAAUAUAAUAGACCUUUCAUUUGCUAAGGAAAACAUUGAACAGAUGAUAGUACACAUGCAUGCAAAAAGUGAUAUUUCUCCAACUUUAAGGGAUAUUUUGAGUCAGUUUGGCGAAAACAAUUGUAGGUCAUCAGAUGUACUUCCUGCAGCACAACAGCCACUGGUUCAAGAAAUAAAUAACAGUGACCAUUCUGAAGCAGGAAGUGAUGCAUUUGACGAUUUUGAGUGGUGGAAUUUUGGUCGCGAUGAUCAUGCAAGAUUAGGUGUCAAUGAUCCAACUGACGGCUUAAGUACUUCAGAUGCAAAUUUUAGUAGGCAUUCAGAUGGGAAUGGUGAAUGUGUAAUUGGGAAUCCUUUAAUAGAUCAGAAACUUGAAAAAAAUUCUGAUUUGCUUAUUCUAGGCUUGGGAUUCAUUUCAAAAUCAAAUGCUUGGGCAGGUCCUGAUCAUUGGAAGUAUCGGAAGGCCAAAGGUUUAGAACAAAUGCCAUGCUCAGAUAAUGAAAAUGAAUCAGAACUAGCAAGUAAGGAGCCAAAGAUAAAAAAGGGAGUGCCUGAUAUUGAUUUCACAAAAUCUCUGGACAUGCAGAUGCCUAACAUUUUUGCAUCCCCCAAAAGUCCAAAAUCACUGAUCUUACCGGCAAACAGGUCACCCUGCAUUACUAAACUUCCAGAAGAUUGCCACUAUAGACCAGAAAAUCUUGUCAGGCUGUUUCUUCUUCCCGGUUUUAUGCGUCUUGGGGAAAAAGCAAGAAAAAUAUCCGAUGAAUCAAUGCAAUAUGACAACUUUAUUCCAUUUGCUUCAUGUGAUGAUGAAAAUACGAGAAAUGACAACUCUGAUUAUCCAGCAUAUAGUAGCGAUAGGGAAGAUCUGGAAAAUCUUGUUCACCCGCCACGUCAGGUAAACAAAGUUGACAUACAGUACGACAAGGUACCGAAACAAGUUGAUGUUCAUGUCCUAAAAGAUGUGCUUUGGAGCAACAUACAAGAAUCAAUUCAGAUGUCUGAUGUGGGAAUCGAGGUGACUGUUUCCUUCAAGCAAGUUUUGCAUCAAUUUUCAAGUGAUUCUUGCCCCAUAACUUCUUUACCCAGGGACAUCUCGCCACAUUUGUUCUUCAUUUGUCUCUUACACCUGGCCAACGAGCACCACUUGAGCCUCCACAAGCAUCCAACACUGGACGAACUCGACAUUCACAUCCCCUCUUCAGUAAUCGUAUAGAAGUGGAAGUAAGCAAAAGCAAGAGUUGGAGUUAACAAGCUUACCAGAAAACAGUAAAAAGCUCCCUUUACAAAUUUAAAUCUCCUUAUUCAGAUAAACUCGGUGUCCAAUGAAAUGCCACUGAAUAUCUGCUGGGAGCUGCAAGAUAAAUAGUAAGGUUUAUCCUCAAGAAAACGUGUCAAAAGUUUAAUUAGUAUGUUUUUUGUGCAACUUUAUAAUGUAUGUAAAGUUUCCACAGUCAGGUAUAUGUCCUAUUUUGUUAUUGGGUGCAAAAGAAACAGGCAAAAUAGAAGGUGUUAACA